RNAcentral lists this ribosomal RNA (478 nucleotides) under uncultured bacterium. RNAcentral's name for it is "partial 16S ribosomal RNA". It matches the Rfam family "Bacterial small subunit ribosomal RNA", at positions 28 to 523 of the family's 1533-position model. The record is from RNAcentral.
GACGAACGCUGGCGGCGUGCUUAACACAUGCAAGUCGAACGGUAAGGCCCUUCGGGGUACACGAGUGGCGAACGGGUGAGUAACACGUGGGUGAUCUGCCCUGCACUUCGGGAUAAGCCUGGGAAACUGGGUCUAAUACCGGAUAGGACCACUGCCUGCAUGGGUGGUGGUGGAAAGCUUUUGCGGUGUUGGAUGGGCCCGAGGCCUAUCAGCUUGGUGGGGGGGUGAUGGCCUACCAAGGCGACGACGGGUGGCCGGCCUGAGAGGGUGAGCGGCCACGCUGGGACUGAGAUACGGCCCAGACUCCUACGGGAGGCAGCAGUGGGGAAUAUUGCACAAUGGGCGCAAGCCUGAUGCAGCGACGCCGCGUGAGGGAUGACGGCCUUCGGGUUGUAAACCUCUUUCAGCACCGACGAAGAGCAAGUGACGGUAGGUGCAGAAGAAGGACCGGCCAACUACGUGCCAGCCGCCGCCGUAA